CCUACGGGAGGCAGCAGUGAGGAAUAUUGGUCAAUGGGCGGAAGCCUGAACCAGCCAAGUCGCGUGCGGGAUGAAGGCCCUGCGGGUCGUAAACCUCUUUUGCCGGGGAGCAGAGGUCCGGACGUGUCCGGGCCGGGAGAGUACCCGUAGAAAAAGCAUCGCCUAACUCCGUGCCAGCAGCCGCGGUAAUACGGAGGAUGCGAGCGUUAUCCGGAUUUAUUGGGUUUAAAGGGUGCGUAGGCGGGCCUUUAAGCCGGCGGUCAAAUGUCGGGGCUCAACCCCGGCCUGCCGUCUGAACUGGGGGCCUUGAGUGGGCGAGAAGUAUGCGGAAUGCGUGGUGUAGCGGUGAAAUGCAUAGAUAUCACGCAGAACCCUGAUUGCGAAGGCAGCAUACCGGCGCCCUACUGACGCUGAGGCACGAAAGUGCGGGUAUCGAACAGGAUUAGAUACCCCAGUAGUC
This 460-nucleotide ribosomal RNA is filed under the name uncultured bacterium. Its description in RNAcentral is "partial 16S ribosomal RNA". It matches the Rfam family "Bacterial small subunit ribosomal RNA", at positions 338 to 795 of the family's 1533-position model. The record is from RNAcentral.